GCCCUCUGAGAUCCUCAAAUGUAGCCAUGCCCAGCACUGCCCAGGCCACCACUGCUCUGUGUCCCCAAGUGCCACAUGCCCAGGCUGUUCAACCCCCCGGGGAUGGGCUCUCACCCCUGCCCUGGGCAGCUGUGCCAAUGACAUCUUCCAUGAACACCCUGCCAGCAGCCAAGCUGAAGGUGCCCUGCACAGCCUCAGUUCUUGCUGCCCUCCUGUCCCUGGUCCCUGGAGCAGAGCUCUAUUCCCAGUCUCACAGGAGCCCUGCAAACCUGCCAGGGGUUACAGCACCUCAAGGAUUCCAUUCCCACAUCUGACACAAGAGCAUCUCCUUGGCACACGGAGUGGCUGAGCCCACAGGGAGGGACAUCCCUGGGGACAGCCAGAGCCCUGAGCUGGGGCAGCAGGAGCUGGGAGGGAACAUCUGAGAGCACAAACGUGGCCAUGAGGAGCUCUGGCACUGGGAAAGUGCAGCAGCAGCAGGACUGGGCCAGGCUGCUCUUCCCAGCCUUCAUCCCGGUGUGUCCCACAGUUGCCCAUCCCUGUGCUGCUGCUGUUCCUUGUCACACUCAUCCUCUGGCUCUUUGGCAGCAGUCCUCCAGCCUGAUCCCACACCUCUGGGGUUUCUGUGCUUGUGAUGACCCCCAGGUAUUAAAAAGUCUCUUUUUUCCCAGCCCCACACUCAAAGAAGUCGAGAUUCGUCAGCUCUGCUUUUCAAGGUUGUUUAUUUUCUCUUAUCUAUUCCAUUCUUUCUCUGACCUGCUGAGAUCUGUCCAGCAGGUUGGUUUGUGGCACAGCCCCUGCCCUUGGGGUGGUGUUAGCUUUUUAAACCAAGAACUAUUUGUACUUUAUUCACAAUAAUUCUCCAAUACCUAUCAUCUAUGUUGGACAGUCUGUCUCUACUCUAAACCAAUCCAGAAGUGUCACCAUCACAGCAGAGGAUGGAGGACAAGAAGAAGAAGGACAGGACAUGCCCAGUUCCCUCCAUCUUGCCUCUUGAACCCCCAUUCUAAAAACCCCAAAAUUCUACUUUUUUACCCUAUUUCAAAUUCACUAUCAUUCUACUCAAACACUUGUGGCUUGUAACUCCUCACACAAAGUUGGGAAUUGUUUCCAUGGGUUAAAAUCAAAGGCUCAGGUGUUUGUGACUCCGUGCCAAGGUCUGUGAGCCCCUGCCAGGGUCUGGAGCCAUCCAGGGCAGCCAGAGCAAUGUCCUGGGUUCUGACACACACCCUGCAGGGCUUUUUCCUUUCCCUCUGGCUGGGGCAGAGCUCUCCAGGCUCACCUCACACCCCAUCCUCACCCUGAACCCUGUCAAUGCCAUGCUCAGCCAGCUCCAGGCUCCCCUGCAGCCUCUGAACACUGAACCCCAGCAGCUUCCAGACUCUUCCAACUGCUUUUGUGCUUUUUCACUCUGUCUUGGUCUGAAAAGGAAGUGAGUUUAAUGUAGGUUCUUAAAUAAUUCCACAAAUCCUGUGUUACUCGCUUCACUCCGAGUGCAGCUCCCAAAUUAAUGGUGUGUGUUAAUUGGGCAGCUAAUCCCCCUCCCAGAAGAAAAAAGCAGCCUUAAGGAUUAUCAUAAUGCUUCUCAUUUUUGGUGCUGUGCUGCUAACGUGUUUUAGAUGUUUUAAUAAAUGAGAGGCCUUAAUUAGAGCA
RNAcentral lists this long non-coding RNA (1653 nucleotides) under Zonotrichia albicollis (white-throated sparrow). Its description in RNAcentral is "lncRNA (ENSZALG00000011752.1)". Lineage: Eukaryota; Metazoa; Chordata; Aves; Passeriformes; Passerellidae. The record is from RNAcentral.